Long non-coding RNA from Ictalurus punctatus (channel catfish), 433 nucleotides. Lineage: Eukaryota; Metazoa; Chordata; Actinopteri; Siluriformes; Ictaluridae. The record is from Ensembl.
UGGUCAGUGAGAUACGGGGGUUGGUUGGUCAGUGAGAUACAGGGGUUGGUUGGUCAGUGAGAUACAGGGGUUGGUUGGUCAGUGGGUGGUUGGUCAUGGGUGGUUGGUCAGUGAGAUACGGGGGUGGUUGGUCAGUGAGAUACGGGGGUGGUUGGUCAGUCAGUCAGUGGGUGGUUGGUCAGUGAGAUACAGGGGUUGGUUGGUCAGUCAGUGGGUGGUUGGUCAGUGAGAUACGGGGGUGGUUGGUCAGUGGGUGGUUGGUCAGUCAGUUACGGGGGUGGUUGGUCAGUGAGAUACGGGGGGUGGUUGGUCAGUCAGUGAGAUAUGGGGGUUGGUCGGGACCUCCACGGCACAAAGUGAGGAGAAAGACGUGUUCAAAACUCAAUCCUGUCAUUUAAUAAUACCAUGAUUAGAAACAUUAUUAUAUUACGUU